RNAcentral lists this transfer RNA (68 nucleotides) under Hylomyscus anselli (Ansell's wood mouse). RNAcentral's name for it is "tRNA-Trp". The record is from RNAcentral. Lineage: Eukaryota; Metazoa; Chordata; Mammalia; Rodentia; Muridae.
AGAAGUUUAGGAUAUAACAAGUCCAAUAGCCUUCAAAGCUAUAAGAAAACAAACUAGUUUAACUUCUG